CCCGGCCAGGGAUGCAUCAUGCCGGCCUCUGCGACCAGCCACCGGAGGCCCAGGGGACAGCUUCAGGUGGUCAUCACUUUCAAUGGUGCGAAUGGACCGGAUAGGGGUUGCAGGCACACCCACGAGGCCAACACCAGCCUGGACCCAAUCACACAACAUUGGGCGGUUCACACCAUGGACCCCCAGUGACUCAAAGGAGGAGCAACAGGUCCUAGAAGGAGGUCACAGAAAGCGUCUGAAGACCGGGAUUCUUGUUGAAGCUCCACCAGUCCUCAACAUUCUCAUCAGUGAAAUGGGCAUAAACAUGUUGGGUCAUUCCCAAGCUUGGGCAAGGUCACACACGCGGACGUUCUCUGCGUUUGGUAUUGCAUAAGGGGAGCAUGAUCCUUGCUAGACAGUGCUGGCCUCAGUCCACGGGAUGUUCUGCAGUGCUUCCUCCCUCGGAUGAAUCUUAGUGUGUCAAGGGUCAGGCUCUACGAUCCCACUGUGAAAAGCUGCCAUGAUCUUCUUUGGGCUGUAGCUCCCCACCAACUUCAGGGACCUUAUCUGGCACAGGGGAGUCUCCAGAGCUCACCUGAGUCCAUGGCACUGUCCCACAUUCUGCAAAAGUAAACACUGCCCAGCCGAGGUGGCUCCCUGAAUGGUUUCUGGGUGAAUCAAUGAGACAGUUUACACAUCCUGUUAAGUAAUCAUCCUCUCUCCUGGGGGUCCCCCUCUUUCCAGGAUGUGAUCUAUAGAAUGCCUGCUGUCUCUGUAUGUGUCCUAAUCCAGCAUCAUUGCCUGGGUUGCGCAAAUAGCCCGUGAGGAGUGCAAACAAAGGCCAGCUGCUGAGGUAGGCGCUUCCAGUGAAUGAUGACGUAGGGCCCAGUGCACAUAGGACAUGGGUUCCUGAAACUCCCACUGGUGGUCCUGGCCCACGUUCUCCAAGGGCCAGCUCUCCUUAUGUUAUUUGGGUCUCAAAGUGCCAGUCCAGGGGAAAGACAGACGCUGCCUCCGAACCUACCAAGUCAAGUCAUUUCCAGGAUGAGACACCUCCUUCCUUGCAGUUUAGGGGUGCAGUACUUUGAAGGCAGCUCAAGUCUUAGGGCCUCGAAGGGUAAUUCAUGAGCAGCUGGAUCCAGCAAACAUUCCACUAAACACCCACUGUAUGCUCAUGAGAGGUCCUUUUACCCUGUCAUGAAAUUACAGUGUUUUAUGGUCAGAAGGGACUUGUAUGGUCAUCUAGUCCAACCCUGCCUUCCCAGCCUAUGCUUGAAUAAUUGCUCCAGAGGUUCGGCCGGACAGUGGAUCAACCCCUGCUUUGUUAAAUCCUUCAGUGCCAAGGAACUCACUACCUUACAAAGUGGUCAGUACUGUCUUACAGCACCUUACACUGAUAGAUUUUCUUACUACAAGGAUUUUAGUAAAUCCUUAGCAAAUCAUCCAGGAUUUAGUAAAUCACCCCGGAAGCUCUGAUUCGUCUUGCACUGACUCUAUGGAGCCAUGGGGCCCUCAUCCACCUGCCAGCCCUCCGGGUGUUUAAGCACAAACCUGUUGGCUGCUACUUUUCCUUCUCAUGAUUUCUCUCUAAUACUUGUUAUUGUCUAUUUUUUUAAAUUAUAACCAU
Molecule: long non-coding RNA, 1606 nt
Organism: Neomonachus schauinslandi (Hawaiian monk seal)
Lineage: Eukaryota; Metazoa; Chordata; Mammalia; Carnivora; Phocidae
Exons: 3
Source: RefSeq, a predicted model, not a curated record